RNAcentral lists this ribosomal RNA (497 nucleotides) under uncultured bacterium. RNAcentral's name for it is "partial 16S ribosomal RNA". It matches the Rfam family "Bacterial small subunit ribosomal RNA", at positions 28 to 507 of the family's 1533-position model. The record is from RNAcentral.
GACGAACGCUGGCGGCGUGCCUAAUACAUGCAAGUUGAGCGCUGAAGGUUGGUACUUGUACCAACUGGAUGAGCAGCGAACGGGUGAGUAACGCGUGGGGAAUCUGCCUUUGAGCGGGGGACAACAUUUGGAAACGAAUGCUAAUACCGCAUAAAAACUUUAAACACAAGUUUUAAGUUUGAAAGAUGCAAUUGCAUCACUCAAAGAUGAUCCCGCGUUGUAUUAGCUAGUUGGUGAGGUAAAGGCUCACCAAGGUGAUGAUACAUAGCCGACCUGAGAGGGUGAUGGGCCACGUUGGGACUGAGACACGGCCCAAACUCCUACGGGAGGCAGCAGUAGGGAAUCUUCGGCAAUGGACGAAAGUCUGACCGAGCAACGCCGCGUGAGUGAAGAAGGUUUUCGGAUCGUAAAACUCUGUUGGUAGAGAAGAACGUUGGUGAGAGUGGAAAGCUCAUCAAGUGACGGUAACUACCCAGAAAGGGACGGCUAACUACGUG